Long non-coding RNA from Onychostruthus taczanowskii (white-rumped snowfinch), 254 nucleotides. RefSeq lists it as uncharacterized. The transcript has 2 exons. Lineage: Eukaryota; Metazoa; Chordata; Aves; Passeriformes; Passeridae. The record is from RefSeq and is a predicted model, not a curated record.
CCCAAUUUCCCCCCAUUUCCCCCCAAUCCCAGGUGCUGGCCAACGGCCUGGACAACAAGCUGCGUGAGGACCUGGAGCGCCUGAAGAAGAUCCGCGCCCACCGCGGCCUGCGCCACUUUUGGGGGCUGAGGGUGCGCGGGCAGCACACCAAGACCACCGGGCGGCGCGGGCGGACCGUGGGCGUGUCCAAGAAAAAAUGAGGGGAAAAAGGAGGAAUUCGGGCAAUUCCGGGAAUAAAAUGGUUUUGGAGUCAA